AGAGAGAGUUAACAGUGCGUGAAACCGCUCAGAGGUAAACGGGUGGAGUUGAACUGUAAGCUCCGGGGAUUCAGCUGGUGAGUGUGUCAUGGGCUUGGUCAUUUUCGGCCGGCCUCUGGAGUCCGCUUAGCUGCGGGUCCCUGCUUCUUCGGGAGUAGGGGUGCGCGUCGCGCUUGUCAAGUGCUGUGCGCUCUGGAGGUUGCCGGGCUGGCUCGCCAGUGCACUUUCUCGGAGUGGUCACCNCGACCGGCGUUGUUGUCUUGCUGCUGUGGUCGAACCGGUCAGGUUUGGUCCUUGUGGCUGAACUUGAUCGGGAUGGCAGGUAGCUCAUUGGUUGGCUUGUCCAGUCUUUGGGUGUAAUCAGCUGGCUGCAGUGGUAUUGUGCAAUGCGUCGGAGACGGCGGCUCGAGGUAUGUGCUUGUGUUCCGUUGGUUGGCGGUAUCGGGUUUGGCUGGCGUGUUACCUGCUUCGGUGGGUCCGUUGGUGGCUCGGUGCUGUUUGGCUAGCGG
RNAcentral lists this ribosomal RNA (509 nucleotides) under Echinostoma sp. DMC-2018. RNAcentral's name for it is "partial 28S ribosomal RNA". Lineage: Eukaryota; Metazoa; Platyhelminthes; Trematoda; Plagiorchiida; Echinostomatidae. The record is from RNAcentral.